CUUGGUCAUUUAGAGGAAGUAAAAGUCGUAACAAGGUUUCGUUGAGAGAUCCUUCUCGGAAGCCUCCUCGCACGGCGACUAUAACUCCGUGUGCAGUCUAGCAAUAGGCGACGUCGCCCCUGUGCUGGAACGUUGCGGUCCCCGUAACAGACCAGCAGCCAGGUCCGUCCUGGUCCACAGAUUAGGUGGUGGCGGUCCCCAGCUCCCGCUGGCGGAUCAAGAUAUAAUCGGUCCCCUUCGCCCGCGAAGUUGGCUGAGAGACGUUCCGUAGGUGAACCUGCGGAAGGAUCAUUAUCGAGUUAGGGUCUUCUGGGCCCCAUCUCCAACCCUUGUCUAUAUUACCACGUUGCUUUGGCGGGCCCGUCCUUGACCGGACCGCCGGGGAUUUUACGUCCCUGGCCCGUGCCCGCCAAUAGCCCCUACAAAUUCUUUGAACAGUGAUGUCUAAGUCUAAGAUAAAUAACUAAAACUUUCAACAACGGAUCUCUUGGUUCUGGCAUCGAUGAAGAACGCAGCGAAAUGCGAUAAGUAAUGCGAAUUGCAGAAUUCCGUGAGUCAUCGAAUCUUUGAACGCACAUUGCGCCCUUUGGUAUUCCGAAGGGCAUGCCUGUUCGAGCGUCAUUAUCAACCCUCAAGCCCGGCUUGCUGUUGGGUUCGCGCCGUCUAACCGCGGCGGACCCGAAAGAUAAUGGCAGAGCCCGUGUGGACCCUGGAUGCAGCGAGCUCUUCAGCACGCGUCGCGGCGGUCCUCCGGCUCGGUCUUAACCAACAUUUUCUCAGGUUGACCUCGGAUCAGNCAGGGAUACCCGCUGAACUUAAGCAUAUCAAUAAGCGGAGGA
RNAcentral lists this ribosomal RNA (839 nucleotides) under uncultured Ascomycota. RNAcentral describes it as "eukaryotic LSU rRNA". The stretch from base 468 to 621 matches the Rfam family "5.8S ribosomal RNA". The record is from RNAcentral. Lineage: Eukaryota; Fungi; Ascomycota.